This 83-nucleotide transfer RNA is filed under the name Belgica antarctica. RNAcentral describes it as "tRNA IU25_tRNA_61". The record is from RNAcentral. Lineage: Eukaryota; Metazoa; Arthropoda; Insecta; Diptera; Chironomidae.
UUGCUACCUGUGAGGUUCGAACUCACGCCCUCAGAUGAGGAUCAGAGCUUAAAUCUGACGCCUUAACCGCUCGGCCAAGAUAG